Quercus lobata is the source of this 303-nucleotide long non-coding RNA. RefSeq lists it as uncharacterized. The record is from RefSeq and is a predicted model, not a curated record. NCBI's taxonomy places the organism in Eukaryota, Viridiplantae, Streptophyta, Magnoliopsida, Fagales, Fagaceae. The transcript has 3 exons.
UUAUUUUUACUAAUUCGUUAAUGUUUGAAUUGCUUUUCAGUUUGAUUAAAACUGCCGACUCUUCCAAAGGAGCUGAUUGAUAUAAAGCUUCCUAAGUAUUUUCACGAUCAGACAAACUUAACCAAAUUGAGCAUCUGUUUGGGUGUGGAGGAAAAAAACAAUGGAAGCACAAUCAAUUGUGAAGCUCAAGAACACAGUGUGAGCAGCUACACGUUGCAGAGAAAUCGAGGUAUCCACAAGCCAGUCAAAGUUGAUGACAGCCCUUCAAUGAUAGCUGAAAAUGGUGUGAGUAGCUCCAGCUUG